Molecule: small nucleolar RNA, 124 nt
Filed under: Mus pahari (shrew mouse)
Lineage: Eukaryota; Metazoa; Chordata; Mammalia; Rodentia; Muridae
Description: predicted gene, 23607 (MGP_PahariEiJ_G0034492.1)
Rfam family: Small nucleolar RNA SNORA17
About the family: snoRNA ACA 17 belongs to the H/ACA family of snoRNAs and is predicted to guide pseudouridylation of the 28S rRNA at positions U4659 and U4598. It shares the same host gene together with ACA43. NB This family has a high threshold value to exclude a large number of closely related sequences that do not appear to have conserved H and ACA boxes, and may be pseudogenes.
Source: RNAcentral
AUUGUCCCAGAGGCACUGCAGAUGUGGCUGCUAUGUCAAAUGUGGAUCAGUAGGUGACAGAAGAGAGUCUGUCUACACUCAGUGUUCUGAUUAUGAACAUCUGAGUGAUUAAUAACCUAACAUU